RNAcentral lists this long non-coding RNA (368 nucleotides) under Rattus norvegicus (Norway rat). RNAcentral's name for it is "long non-coding RNA NONRATT023285". Lineage: Eukaryota; Metazoa; Chordata; Mammalia; Rodentia; Muridae. The record is from RNAcentral.
UCUGACCGGCCGGGCUGCGGAGCGGCUCCGCUCGCAGGUCCCGGGAGCCGCCGCCCGCUUCCUCCGCCCGCGGUGAGCCCGUCAAUCCCCGCACAACGCGCUCCUCCAUCUGGGCCAUGGAUGGCGGGGAUCUGAUGAGCUUCUUCCUUCUGGUGUCAUUAACGGACCUUCUACCAUGAACAAUUCUACUUCUGCAGCUAAUGGGAAUGACAACAAGAAAUUUAAAGGAGAUAGACCUCCCUGUUCGCCUUCCCGUGUUCUCCAUCUUCGAAAAAUUCCAUGUGAUGUCACCGAAGCAGAGGUCAUAUCAUUAGGUCUACCAUUUGGCAAAGUAACUAAUCUUUUGAUGUUGAAAGGAAAAAGCCAGG